AGACUUCGGUGGAUUUGAUUUGAUUCUAGUGGCGGACGGGUGAGUAACGCGUGGGUAACCUGCCUUAUACAGGGGGAUAACAGUCAGAAAUGACUGCUAAUACCGCAUAAGCGCACAGAGCUGCAUGGCUCAGUGUGAAAAACUCCGGUGGUAUAAGAUGGACCCGCGUUGGAUUAGCUAGUUGGUGGGGUAACGGCCCACCAAGGCGACGAUCCAUAGCCGGCCUGAGAGGGUGAACGGCCACAUUGGGACUGAGACACGGCCCAGACUCCUACGGGAGGCAGCAGUGGGGAAUAUUGCACAAUGGGGGAAACCCUGAUGCAGCGACGCCGCGUGAAGGGAGAAGUAUCUCGGUAUGUAAACUUCUAUCAGCAGGGAAGAUAGUGACGGUACCUGACUAAGAAGCCCCGGCUAACUACGUGCCAGCAGCCGCGGUAAUACGUAGGGGGCAAGCGUUAUCCGGAUUUACUGGGUGUAAAGGGAGCGUAGACGGUGUGGCAAGUCUGAUGUGAAAGGCAUGGGCUCAACCUGUGGACUGCAUUGGAAACUGCCAUACUUGAGUGCCGGAGGGGUAAGCGGAAUUCCUAGUGUAGCGGUGAAAUGCGUAGAUAUUAGGAGGAACACCAGUGGCGAAGGCGGCU
RNAcentral lists this ribosomal RNA (641 nucleotides) under uncultured bacterium. Its description in RNAcentral is "bacterial SSU rRNA". It matches the Rfam family "Bacterial small subunit ribosomal RNA", at positions 64 to 726 of the family's 1533-position model. The record is from RNAcentral.